GGGUCAUCAAUCUGUACAUUGCCUGAGAGCAGCUGUGUGUGCGCUGGAAGGGACAAGACCAGGUACCUGUCGGGGGAUGCGGCCGUGGUACCAGGCAUGGCUGCGCAGGUCCUCGCUGCUCAGCAGCAGCUCCUCCUCCAGCUCCUUCUUCAGCUUCUCAGGGGUCCUGUCCAUGAUGUGCCUCUCCUUGGAGAACUGAAACACAGAGUCAACCAUGAGCUCACCCUGCCCAGGCCACACCAGGCCAUGCCAGCUGGAGGUGACCGCCUGCUUCACUAAUCCAACCAGUUAUGCUAAAGCCUGCGUUCAGGGAGAUGUGGCCAUAGGACUCAGUUCUGACCAAGGAGCUGAGAAGUGAUGGCUGGAGCCUCAACACCAUUCUGGACGGUGAGUGGGGAGCCACACCAAGGAAUGGCUGGGUGGAAGGUCUGAUUGAGGCUGGGUCCCUGAUGACUGUGGGGCCAACACACCAGCCCUGGACCUCCAGCCUCCAGGUCUUCUAGGUGAUCUACCUUAUGGAAGCCUGUGAUUUGUGGGUGUUCCCGUCACUGGCGGCUGAACUAAAUCCUAACCCAUAUUGUGACCUGACCCCCAUUGAGUCACCCUGACAGACAGUCUGCAGGCUUAGCCUAAAUCCCUUGUGCUGCACCCUGGGCCCACUUCUUGGUCUGACCUCUGAAAAUGUGGAGAUCUGAAAACAUACAGUAGGUCUUGCACAGUU
This 721-nucleotide non-coding RNA is filed under the name Pongo abelii (Sumatran orangutan). Lineage: Eukaryota; Metazoa; Chordata; Mammalia; Primates; Hominidae. The record is from RNAcentral.